GAGGGCAUAGCUCAGUGGUAGAGCUCACGCUUAACAUGCGUGAGGUCCUGGGCUCCAUUCCUGGUACCUCCA
RNAcentral lists this transfer RNA (72 nucleotides) under Camelus bactrianus (Bactrian camel). It matches the Rfam family "tRNA". From Rfam's summary of the family: Transfer RNA (tRNA) molecules are approximately 80 nucleotides in length. Lineage: Eukaryota; Metazoa; Chordata; Mammalia; Artiodactyla; Camelidae. RNAcentral also lists the same sequence under 2 other names. The record is from Rfam by way of RNAcentral.